UGUAAGUAUGUAAAGAAAUUAUUAUGCAAUUCUAGCUAUGUAUUAAGGAGAGCAAAUUUGAUAUAAAAAGGAAUAUUAUAUAUUUCUAGUUAAUAAGCUCUAGAAUAAAUUUAAUAAUAAACGAAGUGAAGUGAAAUAUCUCAGUAACUUCAGGAAAAGAAAUCAAAAGAGAUUCUAUGAAUAGCGUGAGCGAAAGUAGAUAAGUCUAUUAAGUAAAAUGGUUUAUAAACUGUUUGAACGGGGAACCUUCCUCAAAGACUAAAUAUGAUACAUAAGCGAUAGAUAAUGGGCCGUGAGGUAAUUAGAAGUUAGUAGUAAUUUUAUAAGCAGUUCUAAUAAAUUUAGUUUAAAGAACGUACCUUUUGCAUAAUGGGUCACCAAGUUAACAUUAGAUGCGAGAAAAUUUCGUAGUUAAACCAAACAUUAAAAUAACGAUUAGUGUCUAAAGUUAGACCCGAAGCCUAGUGAUUUUACUAUGAUCAGGAUUAUAAAAGUCCGAACGGGUGAUUGUGGCAAAAAUCUCCGAAGAAUCGUGGUAGGUAUAGUGAAAGACAAUACUGACUAGGAUAGCUGGUUUUCUGCGAAACCUAUAACAGUAGGCAAUUUAAGUAAAUAUCUUAGCAGGUACAGAAUUUAAUCUCAGGCAGUGAUAUAUUGCGCAAAUUGGGGAAUCGUGAAGAUUUUAUCAGUGAGUAUGUAGACUCGGAAUGGCAAAGAUAUAUCUUGAAUGAUCAGACAUAGAAUGAUAAGGUUGUAUGUCAAAAGGGAAACAGCCCAGAACAAGAGUUAAGGUUCCUAAAUUAUUUGUUAAGUGAAAGUAAGAAAGUUUUUAUUAAAGUCGACAAGGAGAUAGGCUUAGAAGCAGCCAUAAUUUUAUGACCUCGUAACAGAGCGCUUGUUAAGUUAUAAAAGCAUCGAAAAUAUAACGGAUCUAAACAAUAUACCGAAACCUUGUCCAUAAAUUAAUGCAGAAAUUCUUGCAUAUUUAUGGGGUAGCAGAACGUUGAAUUAAGCUAAAUAGCAAGUUUAUAAAUUUGUUAUGUUAAUUCAAGUGAGAAUGGUGACAUGAGUAACGAAAAGAAUAGUAGAUUUUGGCAAUUUUUUUUCUUAGUAGUAGCCUAGUAAGCUAUAAAAAUACAAAGAAUAAUUAUCUAAAUACAUUAAAUAAUAGAUCUUAUUUAGUGCUUACAAGAUCUACUAUCCGCCUAAAGCUUAUGGUUAGAAUUAAGUAACGGCCUCUAAGUUUUUUAUCUAAAGAUGGAAGCGAUGAGAAAAUCUUUUAUUAUGAGACGACAUUUAUCUAGUGACAAAUGUACAGGAAAUAUCAUGAUAUAGUAACCGUACCUAGAAACCGACUACGGUAAGCUAGUAGAGUAUACGAAGGCGUAAUUGAGAUAACAAUCAUAAAGGAACUCGGCAAAUUGACUAUCGUAACUUCGGGAUAAGUAGGGCUCAUUAUUCUUGAUUAAUAUCAGGUAAAGAGGAAGAAACAUAAAAUAAUGUUGUACGACUGUUUAAUUAAAACACAGCACUUUGCUUAAAGAUUAAAAAUCUAUGUAUAAAGUGUGAUAUCUGCCCGGUGCCGGCAGGCUAACAGAGAUGAUUGAAUAUAUUACUGUUUGAUAUUGACGGAAGCCCCGGUUAAAGGCGGCCUUAACGUGAGGGUCCUAAGGUAGCGAAAUGCCUUGGCCGUUAAAUGCGGUCUUGCAUGAAUGGUGUAACGAUACAACAGCUGUCUCUAUGAUUGACUCAGUGAAAUUGGAAUAGCUGUGCAGAUACAGCUUACCACUAGUUAGACGAGAAGACCCUUUGCAGCUUUACUGUUACUAAUGAUAGAUUUUGAUGAAAAAUUUUCAGACUAGAAGGGAAUUGAUUAAAUAUAUAUGAGAAACCUUUAUUUUUAUUCUUCAUUUGAAUGAAUUGAUAUACCUACAAGCGUUAGUAUAUCAUCCUAGUUCAGCCUAUGUUCUUAGUUUACUAAGAAAUAGGUAACCUUGGAAAGGAACUAUUACUAGGAGACAGUUUAUGUGGGGCACAGACCCUGUAAAGAGUAAACAGGUGUGUCUAAUAAUUAUUUUUAUUUUGUUUGCUAUUUUUAUAUAAAUCAUAUUCACUUUGAUAUAAUUCUAGUGUAAUACUUGGUGGGUUCCGCCUUACAAGUUAUACUAUUAUAUUUAUAUCGAAAAUUUAGGUAAGAUUUUGACUAUACUGAAAUUAGAGAUAAUUUAAAAUUUUAUGUAUUACUUGGUGGUUCCUUUUUUAUAGCAAGCUAUAAAAAAAUACUACAAGCUUAAUACUAAAGUUUUAUAGUUAUUCGUAUUUAUAUACGAACUAAUUAUGUUUUGAAUAUCUAAAAAGCUCAACGGCUUAAUCUUGCCUUACUGUUUGAUUAUCGACAAAUCUUACAGUUGCGUAAGCAGAGCAUAGGAUCACAAGAUGCAAUAAGGAAAGAUCUUGGAUUAUUGGAAAAGCUACGCUAGGGAUGUUUGUCCUUUAAUCUUUAUUAAAAGAAUUAUUAUAAA
Molecule: ribosomal RNA, 2522 nt
Organism: Beauveria bassiana D1-5
Lineage: Eukaryota; Fungi; Ascomycota; Sordariomycetes; Hypocreales; Cordycipitaceae
Rfam family: Bacterial large subunit ribosomal RNA
Source: Rfam